AGUGAACGCUGGCGGUAGGCCUAACACAUGCAAGUCGAACGGCAGCACAGUAAGAGCUUGCUCUUACGGGUGGCGAGUGGCGGACGGGUGAGGAAUACAUCGGAAUCUACUUUUUCGUGGGGGAUAACGUAGGGUAACUUACGCUAAUACCGCAUACGACCUACGGGUGAAAGCAGGGGAUCUUCGGACCUUGCGCGAUUGAAUGAGCCGAUGUCGGAUUAGCUAGUUGGCGGGGUAGAGGCCCACCAAGGCGACGAUCCGUAGCUGGUCUGAGAGGAUGAUCAGCCACACUGGAACUGAGACACGGUCCAGACUCCUACGGGAGGCAGCAGUGGGGAAUAUUGGACAAUGGGCGCAAGCCUGAUCCAGCCAUACCGCGUGGGUGAAGAAGGCCUUCGGGUUGUAAAGCCCUUUUGUUGGGAAAGAAAAGCAGCAGGUUAAUACCCCGCUGUUCUGACGGUACCCAAAGAAUAAGCACCGGCUAACUUCGUG
RNAcentral lists this ribosomal RNA (492 nucleotides) under uncultured bacterium. RNAcentral describes it as "partial 16S ribosomal RNA". It matches the Rfam family "Bacterial small subunit ribosomal RNA", at positions 29 to 507 of the family's 1533-position model. The record is from RNAcentral.